GGUUAAGCAAUUUUAAACUUGUUUUGUAUACAAGAAAACAGGAAAGUAGCGAAUAAAACCUACUCCAUGAAUAUUAAACUUCUGUCACAGGACACAUUCGUGUAAGGCUAUCGUUUUUAGAUCAAAUAAUAUGUCAAAGAUAGUUUGGAACAAUCCCUUCCCUCACUUACAAAUGUAAAAGCCGUUGUCUAAAUACCACAACUGGCCGUGAUACAGCAACAAUUUGGACACAAUCAUAAUAAUGAAAAAUUAUGCGUAUCUUAAGUAUUUUAUUUUAUUUUUAUAAACACCACUUACUCCAUUGUUUCGCUUAUAUAAAUAUGUAUUUAAAUAAACCAAAUGAAUAAGCGGAGUACUGUAAUGUAAUUAACAAAUUAAGUAUAUUUAAUUACAGACAUUCAUCGUCAAGAGACUCACAUUCUGUGGUUUAAUGAUGACCCAAACCUAUUAACAACUCGAGGCUUUCAGUAUCCCUAACUUUAAACAAAGGAACAUUACUUGAAACAAAUGACAUGUAGAUGAUUUAAAGCAAUAAGGCAGAGCAAAGGCAAUCACAAGGACAUUAAUAGUCAUUUGUGCGGAUGUUGUGUAUAAAUCACGCCGUGCCUGCCUAAUGAGUGCAAAGUUUUAUGACAAAACAGUUCAAUAUAUUUUUAUUAUACAAUAAAACUUGCACGUACUAAAACUG
Long non-coding RNA from Danaus plexippus (monarch butterfly), 688 nucleotides. RefSeq lists it as uncharacterized. NCBI's taxonomy places the organism in Eukaryota, Metazoa, Arthropoda, Insecta, Lepidoptera, Nymphalidae. The record is from RefSeq and is a predicted model, not a curated record. The transcript has 2 exons.